Molecule: ribosomal RNA, 504 nt
Filed under: uncultured bacterium
Lineage: Bacteria
Description: partial 16S ribosomal RNA
Rfam family: Bacterial small subunit ribosomal RNA
Source: RNAcentral
AUUGAACGCUGGCGGCAUGCCUUACACAUGCAAGUCGAACGGUAACGGGUCCUUCGGGAUGCCGACGAGUGGCGAACGGGUGAGUAAUAUAUCGGAACGUGCCCAGUAGUGGGGGAUAACUGCUCGAAAGAGCAGCUAAUACCGCAUACGACCUGAGGGUGAAAGGGGGGGAUCGCAAGACCUCUCGCUAUUGGAGCGGCCGAUAUCAGAUUAGCUAGUUGGUGGGGUAAAGGCCUACCAAGGCAACGAUCUGUAGUUGGUCUGAGAGGACGACCAGCCACACUGGGACUGAGACAAGGCCGAGCCGUCUACGGGAGGCAGCAGUGGCGAAUUUUGGACAAUGGGCGCAAGCCUGAUCCAGCAAUGCCGCGUGCAGGAAGAAGGCCUUCGGGUUGUAAACUGCUUUUGUCAGGGAAGAAAUCUUCUGGGCUGGUUAAUACCCGGUUGGGACGACGGUACCCAAAGAAUAAGCACCGGCUAACUUCGUGCCAGCCGCCGCGGAAA